Molecule: transfer RNA, 87 nt
Filed under: Escherichia coli
Lineage: Bacteria; Pseudomonadati; Pseudomonadota; Gammaproteobacteria; Enterobacterales; Enterobacteriaceae
Also listed under: 7 other names
Description: tRNA-Leu
Rfam family: tRNA
About the family: Transfer RNA (tRNA) molecules are approximately 80 nucleotides in length. Their secondary structure includes four short double-helical elements and three loops (D, anti-codon, and T loops).
Source: RNAcentral
GCCCGGAUGGUGGAAUCGGUAGACACAAGGGAUUUAAAAUCCCUCGGCGUUCGCGUUGUGCGGGUUCAAGUCCCGCUCCGGGUACCA